Molecule: long non-coding RNA, 473 nt
Filed under: Cicer arietinum (chickpea)
Lineage: Eukaryota; Viridiplantae; Streptophyta; Magnoliopsida; Fabales; Fabaceae
Description: long non-coding RNA (CARI_LNC000139)
Source: RNAcentral
AAUCAGAUUUGAGUCUCUAUUAAAGAUACUAUAUUUAAUGUCGGAAAUAUACUUGGAAUAAGAUUACAAAGAAUUUAAAAAAAUAAAAAUGUAUAAUAAAGGUGAGAGAAAUAGCAGCCACACUUUAGUUUAGGUCCCCAACCGACCCAUUAUUCAUUUAAGAGAGCAAAUGGAUAAAAAGUAUGGAAAGAGAAAGAGAGAUAAUAAACCAAAGAAGAAAACAUUUAUAAGAUACAUUUAUUAUAUAGAUUUUGUUGUCUGUCGCAUAACAUCACACACUUCUCACAUUUCUAACGUUGCGUUGUGGUUAGAAUCAAAACACGAUGCCUUUUUCAUCCAUUGUAAUUCAUGAUACACUCCAAACUGAUGAGUUUGUGUCUCUCCCUUUUUCUAUACUUCACUUUUUUUUUUCUUGUGCAUUUUUGUUAAAAAAUACAAAAAAUAAAAUUACUCACGAAAAUCUUUUAAAUUUG